This is a long non-coding RNA of Sinocyclocheilus grahami, 294 nucleotides long. RefSeq lists it as uncharacterized. The record is from RefSeq and is a predicted model, not a curated record. The transcript has 2 exons. Lineage: Eukaryota; Metazoa; Chordata; Actinopteri; Cypriniformes; Cyprinidae.
CAGCCCUCCUAAACCGUUUCGACUGUAUAUUUUCAUUUGCUGAAAUUUCAGUGCAUCACUCUUUGAUUUAAUAACACUUUGUCUGUAGGUGUCAGAAAACCCUCCCAACCAUAUCCUGUUUCUCACCAAUCUCCCAGAGGAGACGAACGAGCUCAUGCUGUCUAUGCUGUUCAACCAGUUUCCUGGAUUCAAAGAAGUCCGUCUUGUCCCGGGUCGUCACGACAUCGCCUUUGUGGAGUUUGAUAAUGAGGUGCAGGCGGGUGCAGCCAGAGAAGCUUUGCAAGGCUUUAAGAU